Loxodonta africana (African savanna elephant) is the source of this 5375-nucleotide long non-coding RNA. RefSeq lists it as uncharacterized. The transcript is spliced from 2 exons. The record is from RefSeq and is a predicted model, not a curated record. Lineage: Eukaryota; Metazoa; Chordata; Mammalia; Proboscidea; Elephantidae.
AGCAAGAUUAUUUUAAAAAAGCCUAAAACAGGGCAACAGCAAUGUUAUUAUAUAAAAGAAGACAGCAUUAAAAUAAUAAAGAGGGAUUAAGAAAUGUAAUCAUACACCUUCCAUAUGAAGAGGAAGGUACAACAAUGCAAAGAAGUAAAAGUUAGUCUUAAAUUUAGAAAAAUAGGGGUAAAUAAUACGGUAGCCACAAAGGAGACAAACUGUCCUACUCAUCAAAAUAAAAUACAAGGGAAAAAUACAGACUCAGCAGAAACAAUAUCAACAACAACAAAUAUGAGGAAAGGACAAUAUAGAAAGAUAAUCUACUCAGCAUAUAAAAUCAAGUGGGAAAAGAAACUAUGAACAGCACACAAAAAAAGACAUCAAAAUGAUAGUACUAAAUUCAUAAAAAAAAAAAAAAACCUACCCAUAAUUACCCUGCAUGUAAAUGGACUAAAUGCACCAAUACAGAGACAGACAGUGGCAGGAUGGAUUGAAAAACAAGAUCCGUCUCUAUGCUGCCUACAAGAGACACACCUUAGACUUAGAGACACACUUAACAUCUACUCAAUGGUAGAAAACUGAAUUAUUUCUGGCAGGAGAGACUCUGAAACCUGCUCUUGAACAUACAGUAGCUACAACAAAAGGAAGAAAUGAUGAAAUAAAAGAACUGAACAGAAGAUUUCAAAGGGCGGUUUGAGACGACAAAGUAUUAUAAGGAAACUUGCAAAGACGAAGAGUUAGAAAAGCGCAAUAGAAGAACACGUUCGGCAUUUCUCAGGGUGAAAGAACUGAAGAAAAACUCAAGUCUCAAGUUCCAAUAUUGAAGGAUUCUAUGGGAAAAAUAUUAAACAAUGCAGGAAGCAUCGAAAGAAGAUGGAUGGAUGGCAUACAGAGUCACUGUUUCAAAAAGAAACAGCCAAUAUCCAAACGUUUCAGGAGGUAGCUAGGCUCAAGAACCUAUGGUACCGAAGGAAGAAGUCCAAGCUGCACUGAAGGCACCGGUGAAAAACAAGGCUCCAGGAACUGACAGAGUACCAGCUGAGAUGUGUCAAUGAACGGAUGCAGCACGGGAAGAGCUCGCUUGUCUAUGCCAAGGAAUUUGGAAGACAGCUACCUGGCCAACCAACUGGAAGAGAUCCACACUUGUGCCCAUUCCAAAGAAAGGCGAUCCAAUAGAAUGUAGAAAUUGUCCAAAAUAUCAUGAAUAUCACACACAGGUAAAAUUUUGCUGAAGAUCAUUCAAAAGCAGUUGCAGCAGUAUAGUGACAGGGAAUUGCCAGAAAUUCAAGCCCAGUUCUGAAGAGUGCGUGGAACGAGGGAUAUCGUUGCUGAUAUCAGAUGGAUCUUGGCUGAAAGCAGAGAAUGCCAAAAAGUCUUUUACCUGUGUUUUAUUGACUAUGCAAAGGCAUUUGACUGUGUGGUUCAUAACAAAUUAUGCACAAUCUUGUGAAGAAUGGGAAUUCCAGAACACUUAAUUGUGCUCAUGAGGAACCUGUGCUCAGACCAAGACGCAGUCAUUAGCACAGAACAAGGGGAUACUAUGAGGUUUUAAGUUGAGAAAGGUGUAUGUUAAGGUUGCAUCCUUUCACCAUAUUUAUUCAAUCUGUAUGGAGGAAAUAAUUCAAGAAGAUAAACUAUAAGAAGAAGAAAGCGGGUAUCAGGAUUGGAAGAAGACUCAUUAACAACCUGCAAUAGGCAGAGGACACAACUUCUCUUGCUGAAAGUGAAGAGGACGUGAAGCAGUCACUGAAGAAAAUCAAUGACCACAGCCUUCACUAUGAAUUACACCACAACACAAAGAAAACAAAAAAUCCUCACAUAUGGAUUAAUAAGCAACAUCAUGGUCGAUGGAGAGAAGAUUGAAGUUGUCAAGGAUGUCUUUAUACUUGGACCCACAAUCCACGCCCAUGGAAGUAGCAGCGAAGAAAUCAAUGACAUAUUGCAUUGGGCAAAUGUACUGCGAAAGCCAUCUUUAAAGUGUUAAAAACCAAAAAUGUCACUUUAAGGACUAAGGUGCGCCUGACCCAGGCCAUGGUAUUUUCAAUCGUCUCAUAUGCAUGCAAAACCUGGAAAAUGAAUGAGGAAGACUGGAGAGGAAUUGAUGCCUUCGAAUUAAGGUCUUGGCCAAGAAUAUUGAAUAUACCAUGGACUGCCACAAGAACGAACAAAUCUGUCUUGGAAGAAGUACAGCCAGAAUGCUCCUUAGAAGGAAGGAUGGUGAGAUUUUCUUACGCACUUUGGACAUGUUAUCAGGAGGCACUGGUCCCUCGAGAAGGACAUCUUGCGUGGUAAAGUAAAGGGUUGGUGAAAAGAGAGAGACCUUUAAGAAGAUGGGUUGACACACUGAGUGCAAUACUAGUCUCAAAGAUAGCAGCCUUUGUGAGGAUGGCGCAGGAUCGGCAGUGUUUCCAUCUGUACAAAGGGGCGCCGUGAGUCAGAAUCCACUGGAUAGCACAUAACAACAAAAACACAAGUAGAUGAGUUGAACUGGGGGAAUCACCACCCUGCAUCCUUCAAGUCUUUGAUGGUGGCAGUUAUCUCUAUAAUUCCUCCAGGAAUGCGGUACUGCUUUUGGUUUACUAUUUUCCUAGAUAGGCAGUUCUAAUGGUUUCCCCUUGGCUUUUCCUACCAUAAUAGCCCUUACUCCACUUGUCUGGAAUCCACAAAGGUAGUUCUGCAAGUUGUUGGGUAUUCCAAUUCCAAUUAUGUGUUUAGGAACUGGGGAAAUCACUACGUGAUGGAUUCAGGGACCCACUGAAUCCACUGUGAAAUGAACCAGAGCUAUGGCUCCAUUAAGAACCUGACUUCCGUACAACCGCUUUCUGACCGGUGGGCCACAGUGACAUCUAGGGUCUCCUGGAUUCAGUGUCAGUUCAGAGGCAGUAUCCAGUAAUUCUUACGCUUGUACAGAUCAAGUAACUACUCGAUAGACUUCCCAUCUAUUUCACUCCUAGGGACACCAUGACUAAGUAGCCAAUGCCAUGAGUCCAUAGGAGUCAGGCUACUCUCAUUACUGCUUUGACUCCACUGUCCAUUAUGUGAACCACACCUACCUUGUUCUUGUCCAUUGAGUCACCCGCAUGGCCCCUAACACCGUGGGGUCCAAUCAGCCCCAUUGUAGUUUGGUGUCUUAAUUCAGUUAGGGCAUCUCCCAUUGUGAGAUCUGACUUCCAUAAAAGAACAAUCACAGCAGUCUUCAAGGAUGCUGGGGCUCCCUUCACAAAUUUAUUCCUCACCAUUGCGGUAAAAGGUGUGUCCUCUGAGCAUUCCAUGUGUGGGUCUGUGGGUCUAAGCCGAGAAAUCCACUCUAACAUGCCAGUUUCCCUAAGCCUUUGGAUACCUUCUUCUACUGUGAAAUCAAGGCGGGUCUGGCACUUCAGCUGGGUUUAGUGUGGGCCACCGCUUAAUCUGUGCUUCACUGAAUCAGUCACAUAAACUAUUAAAUCCUUUCCUAAGCUCUCUAGCUGAAACACUGGAUGAAGGAUCUGUGCUUAGUGGACCCAUAUCAAUGAACUCAGGCUGAGGCAACUUUAUGUUCCUUGCACCAUUAUCCCACACCCAUAAUAGCAAUUCCCACACGUAGUCUCCAGGCUUUUGUUUGUAUGUAUUAGAAAAGUCAAGCAGUUCUUUUUCUUUUGGAGUGUAGUGUACCUCCCCCUGGAUCACAUUUUGUGCUUUACCUUUGAGGAUAGCAGGGACUUCAGUCUAGUUAUAGGCCUAGAAGCAACAAUGGGUGUUGGGAAUGUGUCUGGAGAACAUUCAGCAAUGUCUUGUAAGACAUCUGCCUUAAGGGAUGAUGCCCCAGGCAGUGACUCAGACAUCACCCUAGUGGACGACUGAGACAAAGGCUCUUCAGACACAACUGGGUUAAUCUCAGCAGAUGGGGGUCUGAGGGGCUAACAGUUUUCCUGGGGAGGGUGGUUUAGCAGCCAAACAUGGAGUAAUCCCUUCAGGCGGGAGCUGCUAUUUGGUGAUGGCCUUGCUAUUCCUCAAUGAAACUCAUUUUCUUUCACUCCUAAUAGAGUGUGGGAUUUUGUUCUUCAACAACACAAACAAACAGAAAACAUGACCAGAGCCUUUGCAGCAGCAAAUUAGCUAGGAGAAGAUUAUAAUGUAAUGCUUUCAAGUUCUGAUUUAAAGUAGAAUUCUAACCCAGACAAAAUGUGAGGGCAAUCAAGGCAUUUCCAGACAAGUAAGUAAGAACUUAAACAUCUACUUGCAAGGCAUGCACCUUGAGGAAACUGUUGGAGAAAGGAAAUCAGCACAAAGGACUGAUGAGAAAAAAAAAAAAAAAAAGACUGUUUAGGCAUAGAAAAUAAAAACAGGCAUCUGAUCUGUCUGUAAAGAGACUAAAGUAACUCUAAGCGCUCAAUGUAGUCUUUCACCUUAGGUUUGGCGUUGGCUGUCUAGCAGCUCCAGGUAAGCUUUCCCCCAGGUUCUACCCUCCUUCCCUAGGAAUCAACCCAUCACCAUGAAGGAAAUGAGUUGCUUUGCGGAUCAAGCUAAAGAAUGUGAAGACUUAAGGCAAACUUUUGGUAUCAGCCUCCUCAGGUUUCUGACAUGCCCAGCAAAGUGAGAGAUCAUGGAAACUCCUUGUUUCCAUUCUCAUCUGGAGAGCUAACAUUCUGAGCAACGUGAUUGUUAACCAACCAGUCUUGAGAAUAUCCGUCCUGUGGCUGCUUUGUAACCAAGGUGAAACCCCCUUGACCUCCUGUCUUUCAAUUGUGUCUUGUAGCCAGUCAAUCGGCUCACGUAAGCAAUAAUGACAACGAUUGUGCUUUACUUGUCGCGUCUUUGAUUGACCUUCGUCACUGUGAACCAACAAGAAAAACUGUAAUUUUAUUCUCCCCCUUCAGCACUCUGAUUACUCCUGAUUUGCCUUCUUCCCGUGAGAUUCCGGAACGUCAGCCUGAGACUUUGCGAUCUCCCACUGCCACGUCUCCGCUGCAAUAAAUCUCUUUCGAUUUUACCUUAAGGGAGCUGGGAAGUCUUUUCUCUCCAACAUUUUGGCGUAGUUAAUCGGCAGGGUUUUUGGAGUUACCCUUCCCCCGGAGACCCGAAGACCUGAAACACGGGAUUCCGGCACCAAGGGCCCCUUUGUGUGCCCCUCGCUGCAGCUUUUUCGGACCCUUCUGGCUGUCUGGGGGGAGAAGGGAGCAGAGAGACUGGAGGACUUCAUUACCACCAAGCAGAAGAGCCAGGAGCAUUUGCUUUGAACCAGGGGCCCCUGCACUGAGAAGCUGCUAGAUCUGGGGAAGACUGAUGACAAGGACCUUCUCCCAGAGCCAACAGAGAGAGAAAGACUUUCCUAGGAGCUGACGCCCUGAAUUCAGACUUCUAGUCUCCUAGACUGUGAGAGAAUAAAUUACUCUUUGUAAAAGCCA